GUAAAAAGUGAAAGAUGGUUUAUCGUCUACUGUCCAUCUGAAAGUCACAUCCGACCCGGCCUCCAUCACAGGGAUGUAGCUCUGAAAGCUCCUGGUCGGCACCGGGGAGCCUGAAAUCCUGUUUAUUGCUGCUAGUUCAAUCAAAGUCUCCAGAAAGACAAGCGAAAGGAGGGGACAAAACUUGGAGACUCUCAGCUGGGGGGAUAACAACAACACUGUGACUAUUGUUGGGUUUCCUUUCAAGCGUUCCCAGUGAGAUGACAGAGUGGUGCAAUGGUCAGUGGCUUCAGCUUCUGGGAAUCCUGCAAACUCUGCCCGUCCUCCUUCACAUAGGAUUCACGCCCAGAGGAUGAAAAUCCAACCCUGAGCUUUGGAUGGCUGGGGGCCCGGCUCUAGGACUUUUCAUCUCAAAGAAAAUCCCUGGGACAGACAGGGCUAGGGACUCAGCUUCUUAUAAUCACCUGGGAGAGGAAGCAUUUUCACAGCUCACAACAGCAGAGCAAACCCCCAAAAUGCUCUUUGGGCCACAUGCUUUAGCCAUUCAUUCUGCAAGAGUCUGGGCGGCUGUAUGGUCAUGGAGUGGGAAGCCGUUUGAUUCUGAAGACUGAUUCAGAGCUGUCUGCCGUCUGUAGGUAUGUCUACACUGCAAUAAAACACUCCCCGCUGGUCAGUGUCAGUUGACUUGGGUUCGUGGUGCUCAGGCUGUGAAGCUAGAAAAUUACAGCACAGACACUGAGGCUCAGGCAGAAGCCUGGGCUGUGGGACUGUCCCACCAUUGCAAAGGCCUACUGCCCUACAACGUGGGGUGUUUGCUAAACCAUGGCUGGGAUCCCUGUUCAGAGAUGUAUCAGGAUGAGGAGGUCUGGAAUGUAGCCAGGCCCUAUGCUGCUCACCUUUCUAUACCACAGUCAGGAUGGGCCGAUAAGGUGAGCUGGGCUCAGUCUUGCCUGUGCAUGGCUAGUCACCUCCACAGGGGAUGAGAAAGAGUCUGAGGGUCACGUGAAUGGCAACAGGUGACUGAGAACAGACCUGGUGGGAGAUAUUCAGGAGAUACUCCAGGGAGAACAGACCUAGAGCGAGUGCUCCAUUAAAGAGUAGGAAACCAGCCAGGAAAAGGGCCCGUGAGAAGAUUAGGCACAGGAAGAGGUCCUGGGAAGGAAAGUCAGAGCAGUUGGAGUUAUCGAGCACAGAACGCAAUGGCUUAUGUCCCAGGGCUGGUGGUCCGUAGUGUGGGUUCUCCCUAUGCUACCACCUUGUGAGGUACUACAGCCACCCCUCAAUGAGGGGAAGAAGGGACUGACUGGAGCCCAGGAGGGCUGGAAGCUGAGCUCAGGAGAAGGGCUACAGACUGUGGAGGAAGAGGACAGUCCCUGAGAAGAAGAGCUGAGCCUGGCAAACUCUGGGGUGGAAGAUUUGGUGCCAUGUUUCUUUUGGACUGUCCUUAACUCUGGAAAGGUGGGAGGAGGGGGUUGUGACUUGGCCACUGAGCUAAGUCACCUCAGUGACCUACCCACACUGGGAGCUAAUGGAUGACUGCCAUGAAUCACAACAGAAGCAGCACCAGGAGGGAAACUGAGGCACUGGACAGACGAGGUGAAUCCCUGCUACAAGCUGAGUCUGUUUUACUCAAGUGCUUCCACUCUAUCAGUGCAUGAUGGAACCGUUCUCAACAAAGGAGUUGGCCCAUUGAUUCUACAAGGACCUAGUCAACUGUCCUUGUGCUGCUUUCCA
Molecule: long non-coding RNA, 1731 nt
Organism: Chelonoidis abingdonii (Abingdon island giant tortoise)
Lineage: Eukaryota; Metazoa; Chordata; Testudines; Testudinidae
Source: RefSeq, a predicted model, not a curated record